GUUGAACGCUGGCGGCAGGCCUAACACAUGCAAGUCGAGCGGAUGAAGGGAGCUUGCUCCUGAAUUCAGCGGCGGACGGGUGAGUAAUGCCUAGGAAUCUGCCUGGUAGUGGGGGAUAACGUCCGGAAACGGGCGCUAAUACCGCAUACGUCCUGAGGGAGAAAGUGGGGGAUCUUCGGACCUCACGCUAUCAGAUGAGCCUAGGUCGGGUUAGCUAGUUGGUGGGGUAAAGGCAUACCAAGGCGCCGAUCCGUCACUGGUCUGAGGUGAUGAUCAGUCACACUAGAACUGAGACACGGUCCAGACUCCUACGGGAGGCAGCAGUGGGGUAUAGUGGACUAUGGGCGGAAGGCUACUCCAGCCAUGCCGCGUGGGGUGAGAAAGUAUUCGGAUCUGAAAGGUCAUCUAGUUGGGUAGAAGGGCAGUAAGGUAAAUUCUUGCGGAGUUGACGGUACCAUAAGAAUAAGCACCGGCUAACUUCGUG
Molecule: ribosomal RNA, 484 nt
Filed under: uncultured bacterium
Lineage: Bacteria
Description: partial 16S ribosomal RNA
Rfam family: Bacterial small subunit ribosomal RNA
Source: RNAcentral